RNAcentral lists this ribosomal RNA (497 nucleotides) under uncultured bacterium. RNAcentral's name for it is "partial 16S ribosomal RNA". It matches the Rfam family "Bacterial small subunit ribosomal RNA", at positions 28 to 507 of the family's 1533-position model. The record is from RNAcentral.
GACGAACGCUGGCGGCGUGCCUAAUACAUGCAAGUUGAGCGCUGAAGGUUGGUACUUGUACCAACUGGAUGAGCAGCGAACGGGUGAGUAACGCGUGGGUAAUCUGCCUUUGAGCGGGGGACAACAUUUGGAAACGAAUGCUAAUACCGCAUAAAAACUUUAAACACAAGUUUUAAGUUUGAAAGAUGCAAUUGCAUCACUCAAAGAUGAUCCCGCGUUGUAUUAGCUAGUUGGUGAGGUAAAGGCUCACCAAGGCGAUGAUACAUAGCCGACCUGAGAGGGUGAUCGGCCACAAUGGGACUGAGAAACGGCCCAAACUCCUACGGGGGGGAGCAGUAGGGAAUCUUCGGCAAUGGACGAAAGUCUGACCGAGCAACGCCGCGUGAGUGAAGAAGGGUUUCGGAUCGUAAAACUCUGUUGGUAGAGAAGAACGUUGGGGAGAGUGGAAAGCUCAUCAAGUGACGGUAACUACCCAGAAAGGGACGGCUAACUACGUG